RNAcentral lists this ribosomal RNA (2469 nucleotides) under Triticum aestivum (bread wheat). RNAcentral's name for it is "partial small subunit ribosomal RNA". The record is from RNAcentral. Lineage: Eukaryota; Viridiplantae; Streptophyta; Magnoliopsida; Poales; Poaceae.
AUGGCCGGCGGCGAGCAGCUCCUAGUCCAAGAGUCCGCUGUCCCAGUCAUCUCCAGCGGCGCCGACUCGUCAACCCCGGCCGUUCGACUGGCCCACUUCCUCCACCCCCGCGCGGGCGCCGGCCAGCGCCCCCCUCUACCCCCUCCGCCCCGCAACGCCGGCCCUAUUCUCACCGACGGGCUCCAGGUCGAGUUCAAGGGCUGGGCGGAAGCUCCAAAUCUGUGGACGCGGUGGGUGGCCAAGCUCCGCCCGCGGUGCGAGCCCCUGUGGCGGAAGCUUGGGAUCCAGGACGCCGUCCUCGCGACCACCUACCGGGUGCGGCGCGACGAGCGCGCGAUGCUCCAGCUCGCCGCCAUCUGGUCCGCCGAGACCAACACGUUCGUGUUCCCCUGGGGCGAGGCGACGGUGACGCUGGAGGACGUGGCCGUGCUCGGGGGGCUGCCCUUGCUCGGCAGGCCCGUGCGCGCGCCGCCGAAGGGCGCGCUUCGCGAGGAUGUGGAGGCGCUCGAGGGCGUUCGCCGCGCGCUCUACCAGAGCGACAGCCAGAGACCGGACCACUCCGCGUGGGCGAUGCCGUUCCUUGAGCCCCCGGCAGGAGAGGGGCCCGCCGCGGGCGACGGCGGAGCCACCGGGUUACUGGAGCACGGGGCGUUCCUGGCCAUGUGGCUGUCGCUCUUCGUGCUGCCGGCGCCGCCGUUCGACGUGGUCCGGGCAGAGGUGCUCCCCGUCGCCGCCCGGCUGGCGCGCGGCGGCUGCGUGGCGCUCGGACCCGCCGCUCUCGCCAGCAUCUACAGCGACCUCUCCGCGCUGAACCGCUACAUCAAUCUGGACAAGAGAUACCAGCCGUUCGUGGGGUGGGCGCCGCUGCACAUCCUCCAGCUCUGGGUCUUGGCCAGGUUCCCGGAGCUUCGCCCUGAAAUGGCGACCACUCUCGACCCCGUCGCCCGUCACCAGCCUUGGGCCGCCCGGUGGCACCAAGUCCACAAGGGAAUUGACCCCAUAAAUCUUCACAGAGUGUUCAUGUUGCCAAUGGAGUUUGAGUGGAGGCCCUAUGGAAGCUUCACCUUUGCUCCGUCUCCCAGGAAGAGUUGCUCUUGGGUUCAUGGCCGGGACAUGGCAAGAAGUCUACAACUGCUAUCCUUUGCACAGUGUCUGCGUGCUUGCGAGCUUGUAGGCAUGCGCUGCAUUGAGCAGUACAAUCCUCAUCGUGUUGCAAGGCAGCUUGGCUUCGAUCAGGACGUGCCUGGGUCUGUUGCCCGUGUUAACUCAGACUGGAAGAUUGCUUGGGGAACAUACUUUAUGGAGCCUAGCAAUUUCGCCUUCAUCGUUCCGCAGUAUACGCUGGCUGUGACGUUUGAGUACACACGAUGGUGGAGGCCGUACGCUUCUGGGUGUGAUACUGCCAUUGAUAACAACGUAAAUCCGAAAGAAUUUCCUGUUUUGGUUGGCCCAAGGGACAAAAACAUGGAGGUGCUUCAUGAUGAUAAUUCGGGCAAGAAGCAGCAUGUGCUCCCAGGGAUGUCUCGGCCAGAUACUUUUGAGGUAUUUUUUUCGAGAUUAAAUACUUUCGAGGUUUCACAGACUGACAUUCCUCUUGUUGAAAAACUCAAUGGCCUGGACACCAUUCAGGGUACCCUGGAACAUCUUGUGGAAGUUGCCCGGUCAGCACAAAUUGCGGAUAGUUUGACCCUGAGAUGUGUAAGAAAGGGCACACAAACUAAAAAUGUGAAACAAGCUUCACCUGAUGUCUUCGCUAAACAGAAUAGCAGCUCAGAACAUGGUGAAGUAGCUCCCCGUCACCUUGUCAAGCGAGCAGUAAGCACAACCAACAGAAAAGCUAUUGGGGCAACUGUAGGUCAUGUGCAGCCCAGUCUUGAAGACAUCGUGGUGAUGCUUGAUGAAGAGUUCGACGAAUCAGUGGGCAAGGAACAUGAGGUGGGUGCAACUGUAGGUCAUGCGCAGCCAAGUCUUGAGGACGUCAUUGUGAUCAGUGAUGAAGAGUUUGACGAAUCAGUGGGCAAGGAACAUGGGGUGGGUGCAAUGCCGAGGGAAGGUAAUGAAAAAGCUAAUGAAGAUGCAUCAGCAUCAAACCAACAAUCAGAUACCCUUAUGGAAGACUGCACAGUGGUCAACAGGAAGAGCUCAGGAAAUAAUAAGAUGUAUUCUUGCAAUCCAGUAGAUGCAAAUCCUGAACUGGUCGAGAGGGUUUCAACUAAAACACUUUACUAUCUUAGACCAAUUGGGCCCGUGAAAGAUGCUCAGGAAAGAGAUGCAACUGGAACGAAUACGGAUCAAGGAGCUUACCUACCAAGACGUGAAGUUGGGACGAGGGAAAUGAUUGAGGAGGCUUCUGCUGCUCGAGAAGCUGAAAAGGUUGUGUUGCAAAAAGUAAUUGAUUCUCUGAAGGAAGAGAUUGCAGCAGCACAGGCCCUUGGGGCCUUGAGGGAUGGAAGCCCCUCAAAAACCUGA